UCCAUAUGGUGAAGAUGGAUUUAGACUAUAUACUUUAUAUGCAAAUAUUCCAGAAGAUGUAACACCUACCUCAAAAAACACUAUAAGCAUGCGACAGUACUACGCCUUUAGACUUCAGCAUAGAAUUGGAGAAGCUCAUACUCUGCUUAAAGUUGGUCGUCUUUUACAGCAAUAUAUAGUUGAUGCAUACGCCUGUAUUGAAGAACACAAGUUACCAUAUAUCAAAAAAAAAAAAAAAAAAAAACAAUUUAGUUUAGUGUAAUUACUUUUCGAAGAAAAAUUUAAUUUGUUUUUGAAACUCCUACUGCAGGUUAUCAUAUAUCAAAAAAAAUCAAAAGAAAUUGCGAGCUGAGUUGUACCAAGGUUUAAAAGAUGCCAUUGUAGCAGGAGACACAUCCCCAGCCUCAAUAGGAAGAAGAUUAGUUCUUCCCUCAAGUUUCACAGGUGGCCCAAGGUAUAUGGUACAAAAUUACCAGGAUGCAAUAGCUAUUUGUCGGUGGGCAGGAUCUCCAGACUUAUUCAUAACAUUUACUUGCAAUUCAAAGUGGCCAGAAAUUGAAAAAUACCUAGAGCUAAUCCCAGGCCAAAAGCCAGAUGACAGACCUGACAUAGUCUCAAGGGUGUUCAAGAUCAAACUCGAACAACUAAUGGAUGAUUUCUGUGAAAAUCAUUACUUUGGAAGAGUAAAGGCUGGUAAGUUGGUUUAUUUUGUUAAUUAACAAUCUUUUAAUCAAUCACUAUGUAUAAUAAUCAAUUCAUAACAAUUGUGCAGUUGUGUACACAAUCGACUUCCAGAAAAGAGGAUUACCCCACGCACAUAUCUUGCUUUGGUUGCACCCACAAGACAAGCCAAAAACAUCUGCAGAUAUUGAUCGCAUAAUUUCAGUUGAACUCCCGGACCCUAAUAACAAAUUGGCAUUUGAUUUUGUAGUUCAAUUCAUAAUACAUGGACCGUGUGGGCCUUGCAUGCAAGAUGGAAAAUGUUCAAAGCACUAUCCGAAAAAAAAACAGCAACGAGACAAAUGUGGACAGAGAUGGAUUUGCAGUAUAUAGGCAAAGAAAAGAUGGAAAAGUUGCCUUCAAAAAUGGUGUACAAGUUGACAAUACAUGGAUAGUACCCCACAAUGUUGACUUGAUAGUUAAAUAUCAAGCACAUAUAAAUGUCGAAUAUUGCAACCAAGGCAGAUUAGUAAAGUAUCUAUUCAAAUAUGUGCACAAAGGCCACGACAAAUCUACCAUUGUGAUUGAAGAAAAUGCAGUCUCAAAUGUAUCACAAGAUACACAAGAGGUGCGUGAAGUUGAUGAAAUCAAAAAUUAUUUGGACUGUCGAUACAUUUCUGCUUCUGAAGCAAGUUGGAGAAUUUUUGAAUUUGAAACCCAUUAUAGAAAUCCAUCAGUUGAAAGGCUUCCAUUCCAUUUAAAAGAUGAACAACCUAUAAUUUUCUAAGAUACUGACGAUCCCAAUGAUGUGGUGAAUAAAGGAGUGAAAGAAACAAAAUUCUUAGAGUGGAUGGAAACAAACAAAAAACAUGAAGAUGCAAGGGAGUUAACAUAUGCAGAAUUCCCUACAAAAUGGGUUUGGAAUAGAGCUAAAAACAAAUGGAAGCGGAGGGAGAAAGGAAUAGCAAUUGGCUGAAUCUACUACGCUCACCCAUCGUCAGGUGAACGUUUCUAUCUACGUCUUCUCCUUAAUCAUGUAAAAGGACCAACUACACAUGAAGAAAUUAAAUUCUACAAUGGAGUUCAGUAUGAUACUUAUAAAGAAACCUGUUAUGCUAGAGGUCUAUUAGAAGAUGAUGCUGAAUGGAACGAAGCAAUAAUAGAAGCAUCAUAUUUCAACCUUCCAAGUCAGCUUAGAGAUUUGUUCACAACCAUUUUUUUAUUUUCAGAAGUAACAAGACCAAUCAAUAUAUGGAAAAACAAUUGGAAAGUGCUAAGCGAUGAUGCAGAGUACAAUGAAAGGAAAAGGCUAAAAAAUCAAUCGCUCACCCUCACAGAAGAACAGAUUAAGAACUAUGCACUAUGUGAAAUAGAAAUAAUUCUGAAUCAGCGAUACAAGUCCCUCAAAGAUUAUGGCCUUCCACAACCAGAUAUGUCAACCCACAGAUUGAGGCAAAACAACAUGAUCAAUGAAGAGCUAGAUUACAAUAGAGAAGAUUUGGAAAAAGAAUUCAAUACCUCACACAAAGAACUAAAUGAAGAUCAAAAAAACGUCUUCAAUUCUAUCAUUGAAGCUGUCGAAAACAAAACAGGUAUGUGAAUUAUAAUAUUCUAUACUAUAAAUGACCAUCUAUUAAAGGUUAUAUAUAUAAAAAAAAAUACCUUACAUUCUCCCAAUGAUGAAAGUAUAUAAACUAAUCAAACCUAAAUGAGUUUACUGAAUAAGUCAGAAUUAAAAUUAGGACUUAUGAUGGUAUACUGACUUACUUUUACUAAAUUGCAUACAGGUGGUUUCUAUUUUGUUUACAGCAGUGGAGGCACAGGGAAAACUUUCCUUUGGAGAACAACAAUGGCCAAAUUAAGAUCUAAAGGAAAAAUAGUACUAGCAGUUGCUUCUUCAGGAAGUGCAUCCCUUCUUCUUCCUGGAGGUAGGACAACGCACUCCAGAUUUAAUAUCCCUCUUAAUGUCGAUGAAUACUCAACAUGCAACAUAACGAAAAGAACAAAAUUAACAAAACUGAUUCAAAAGGCCGACUUGGUUAUAUGGGAUGAAUCCCCAAUGAAUCACAAAUACGUGUUCGAGGCUGUUGAUAAAACUUUUAGGGAUAUUAUGCGCUCGGAAGAUGAAAAUUCAGAAGAAAAAGUGUUUGGUGGAAAAACAGUUGUACUAGGUGGAGACUUCAGGCAAAUCUUACCAGUAGUUGAAAGAGGAUCCCGGGAGGACAUAGUAGCAGCUUCAAUAAGCAAAUCACAUCUUUGGGAGCAUUGCCAAGUAUUCACUUUAAAGAAAAAUAUGCGCCUACCAAAUAAAGACCUAAGCACAGCAAAAGCGGAAUCCAUAAAAGAGUUCAGUGAAUGGGUACUACAACUUGGUGAAGGAAGAUUACCAACAAUACCUGCUAAGGAAGGAGAAGAACCGUCUUUGAUAAAAAUUCCAGAUGAUUUGUUAAUUCAAGGAGAAGAAAACCCAAUUGAACAGAUCGUCGAAACAAUGUAUCCAGACAUUGAAAACAAUUUCAAGGAAGAUGAUUAUCUUAAAGACAGAUGUAUUCUUGCUCCAACAAACAAUUGCGUAGAUGAAAUAAACAAAUUUAUUCUUGACAAAAUCCCAGGUAAUUCAUACAUUUGUAUUAAAAAAAUAAAUUUAUGAACGAUUCAAUAUCAUUUUUGACUCCAUACAUUAUUAAUGGUAUGUCUUCUCACUCGCAGGUUAACGGUUCGAAUAUCUAAGUGCAGACUCGAUCAGCCCAGUUUCAGAGCAAAUUCAAGAUCAGGAUAUCCUUUAUCCAACAGAAUUUCUAAAUACAUUGCAAGUAUCUGGAGUUCCUAAUCAUGCCAUAGAAUUAAAGGUUGGAGUUCCAAUACUGUUAUUGAGAAACACCAAUCCAAGAUCUGGAAUGUGCAAUGGAACCAGACUCAUAGUAACAAAAUUGGGAAAGUUGGUAAUUGAAGGUCAAAUUAUUACCGGCAGCCAUGUUGGAGAAAGGAGAACAAUUCCAAGAAUUGUCAUGACAACAAUGAAUACAAAGUAGGCGUUCAUACUAAGAAGAAGGCAAUUCCCAAUAAAGCUUUGUUUUGCCAUGACAAUUAGCAAAAGCCAAGGACAAACUCUUAAAAACGUCGGAUUGUACUUGCCAGAACCAGUAUUCACACAUGGUCAACUAUAUGUUGCGGCUUCAAGAACAACGUCACGAGAAGGAUUGAAAGUUCUUAUUAAGAAGAAAGAUGACCAACCUAUAGGAUACACAAGGAAUGUGGUAUACCAUGAAAUCUUAAAUGACAUCACUUCAAGUAAGUAUGUUUUAAUAUCAUUAUAAAAUUAACUAUUUCAUUAAUUAUUUAAACUUAUAUGUGUUUUUAAACAGAUACAGAUGAUGAACCAAAAAAUUAUAACGAAGAUGAUGACAUCAUAUAUCGUGAAGACAAUCAACAGUAAGGACAACCAAAAUAUAUAUACUUAUAUAUUAUACAUGGAUGAGUUGUUGUGGGCAGCAUUGUAGUUGGAGUACAUUAUCAACAAUGCUAAUGACUAUUGAAUUCGGUUUGGAUGUUAAGUAUGCUAGUGUCCAAAUAUUGAGGCUAAAAUGCUUGAAUAAUUAGUGCUUGAAAAUAAGUUUCUAAAUCUACAGAAGGUUCAACAUGGUAGAUUUCAGCGACAGAAGUGCUUUGAAUGUACAAAAAACUAAACUGAUAAAAAUUAGGGAAUCUCACAAGUCAUAUCUGCAUUGGAUGAUAUCAUAUCCUGAUAUGCGUUCCACACAAUAUUGGCAUCUUGGACAAUGUGACCAUUUAGUUUUUUUUUCAUUACAGAACAGAAGAGAACAUCGUUUCUUUUUGCGACCGUACUCCUCGCUUCAUUGCAACUAUAUCAAGCAUGCCAUCGACAUUCACAAUUGAAACAGAAUAUUCCCUUCCAAAUUGGACAAAUAGCGUCAGUUUCUUCUUAAUGGACCUAACAUAUUUAUAUAUGUCAAUAUGCAGUCUACAAUAGUUUGCAAACUAAAUUAAAUUCUGCAUUUGGAAUUCAAAUUUGAACUCCUGCAACAACUGAAAAGAGUCCAGACCAACAGCCAAAAAAUAAUGCAAUGGGCCAUCUUAUCAACAAAAAACUCAAAUAGGCCCACAAGAAAAAUUACUAACAAUAUCAAAAUAACAAAUAAAAUCUUACCAUUAAAGUAUCACGUCAACUACUAAAAUCUUAACAAACAAACCUAUGAACCGACCUUAAGAGUUUAAUUGCCUUUAAAAAACAACUAAAUAAAGAAACAUAAUAAUAGUAAACUCUAGCUAAUAACACCACGACACUUAGCAUUAUAAAUACAUGACAUGCGUACAACUAAACCCUAUUCUAUAUUCUACAUACUUCAAUCUCCUUCCUUCUGCUUCUACUUCAGAGAAAAACAAAGGUAUGUCAAUUUAUUAAUGUCUAAACUAAUUAGCUUAUAAAAGUAUGCAGGUACACUUUUCUAAUGGUUUGCUUUUAAUUAUUCCAGCUAUUUACUGUUUGAAUUUAAGGAGUUCGAUUUCUAAAAGAAAAAAAACCCUAAUGUAACCAGUUUAAGGUUUUGGUUUACUACGUUGUUGUUGUACAACUUCGUCUUCCUCUUUACUAAUAUAUAUGACUGCUAUAUGAACAUAGGGAAUAGCUAUGGAUAAAUACAACACAAUCAGUGAGAUUGAUGAAAACAAAAGGUCAUGGAAGCUAAAAGGUAUGGUCAUACGUAUGUGGCCAACUUUUGAAGAAGAAAAAAUAACGGAAAAAAUUGUAAAGAAAGUUGUCGCACUGGAUAUCAUUGUAAUGGACGAAAAGGUAUGAUUGUUUUUACAUAUAUUCACCUCACCUAAACAAAUGCCUAACCAUUAUUUAAUAUCAGGGAGGUAACGCAAUCGAAAAGUCAUUAAAUUAUUGUUUUUUAACUAAUAACUUAUAUGUUUUUGGUUUAUUUCAAUUGGAAAUUCAGGGAAGAGAAAUUGAAGGUAACAUUAUGGGGAGAAAUGAAGGAUAUCUUUGACACUGAAAAACUGAAGACUAUGGUGAAUGAAAAACCAGUAGUAGUGAUAUCACUAGCAAAAGUUCGUAAAUUUCAGGGUAAUUACCUUAACUUUUUAAAUAUAUGAAAAUACUCUAUAUAUAAUAAUGAUUUUGUUAUCCUAUACAAAUAAAAAUUAUUUCAUAUUCUAUAAAACAGGAGCCCAGUUGUCCACUACAACCGGAACUAUGCUUUAUUUAAAUCCAGAUAUUCCAGAAGUUAUACAAAUGAAGAACAGGUAAAACUAUCUCACAAAUGUUUACAUACUCAACUUAAUAACAUGAUUUACUACUUAUAACCAAUUAUAAUCAGAUCCUUUAUGAUGUGUUUUACAUUGAUCAACCAAGUGAACAUCACGUUGAAAAUAGGAGAUUUUUCAAGAUUCAAAAAAGGCAACCUACUGGAUGUGCAAAAAUCUAUCAACCAAGAAACUCAUGAGGUACAUUUACUUCCCUUCAUUCUUAAGCAUAUUCAAAUUUCAUAUUAAUAUUUAUCUUGCAAAAAUCUAUUUUCAUAAAAAAAAUAAAUAUACAGGACUACAUCACAUGUUCAGCAAAAAUAGUUAAAGUUAAUGCAUCGCCAGAAUGGUACUACUUCGCUUGCAAAACUUGCAAGACAAAGGCGGAAGAAGUUCUCGAAGCAUAUCAAUGCUAUUGUGGAAUAAUUGAAGAAUCAAAUACAAUGCUACAGUAAGUAUAAAACCCUUUUUUUACUAAACACAAUGACAUAUAUCAUCUAAACAUGCAAUCUUAUGUGUGCUAAAUGUUUCAUUGUCAAAAAAUAUAUGUAUAAAAAAACAGGUAUAAGAUACAAAUCGAAAUAUCGGAUGGAAUAGGAAAUGCAAAAAUUACAGUUUUUGGUGAAAAAGCGAAAAAACUAAUGAAGGAUAAUACAGUAGCUGCAUUGCUAAGUAUGAAAGAAAAAGGAGAGGACAUCGUGAGAAACUACAUUCAAGCAAUCGAGAAUACUGAAGCAAUUUUUGACAUAAAGAUAACUGAAAAGAACAGGCAAUUUCCAAAAGGAUAUCUUACAUGCACAAACAUCUCAUUCGAAGGACAAGUAAAAGAAGGUACAACAAAAGACAACAUACAAAAGGUAAGACCUCAACCCACCCACACAAAAAAUCAAAUAUAUAUAUAUAGUCAAUAAGAUUAAAAUAUAAAAUUAUUUUUUUUUAUUAUUUAAUAUAUUGCAGGAAAACUUUGUCCCACCAACACCUAAGAAACACUCUCCUGAAGAAAUAGUCGACGUUGACAAACUUCCUCAAAAAGAUUAUACUAAGAAGAUAUGCAUUAAGCAAGAACCAGAGGUAAGAAUAUUCAGACAAAGAAAAACAAUAAACAAAAUUAUAAAUCAUAAAUUAAAUUUUACACCACUAAUUUCUCUUCAUUUUUAUAUGCAGGACUCGGACUAAAGGGGAAAAUGGAAUGCACCUAAGAAACAAGCUUUGCUACUAUAAUGUCGUUUCACAACUUUAUUUAGAUUUAUCACUCUAUUUUUGUUAAUCAGAUUUUUAUAUUGUUUACUGAUGAUUUAAUAAUGGAAUUGAUUUGAAUGUCUUCCUGCUAAUUUCCAUUAGUUAUUAAAGCAUAUGGAAGAAAAAAAAUUGGACUUAAAAAGGAACAAACUUAGAAAGAGCAAAGAAUGCUAUGAAAAAAAAAUAUUACAUAGAAAAGAGCAAAGAAAUAGUCUUUACCAUUUCAAUAGUUAUCUGGAUUUCUCCUCCAUUGUAAUAGCUCGAUCAUAAUGAAAUCAAAUGGAUUCAUUCUAAAUGUUGCUCCAAUUGUUGUUCAUAAAUUAUAAUGGAUUCAAGCAGCCAUGAUGAUGAUUGAAUGGAGAUGUGAUCGAGUUAAAUGCAGACUACUAUUAAUACCUAUAAUGGAUUCAUCCAUAAGCAUCCAUGACAAGUAACUAUUCAAAUUCAUCAAUCAAUUGAUCAAUUUCUGCCAAACCUAACCCUUGC
RNAcentral lists this long non-coding RNA (7653 nucleotides) under Aquilegia coerulea. Its description in RNAcentral is "long non-coding RNA (ACOE_LNC000218)". Lineage: Eukaryota; Viridiplantae; Streptophyta; Magnoliopsida; Ranunculales; Ranunculaceae. The record is from RNAcentral.